UACGUAGGGGGCAAGCGUUGUCCGGAAUCAUUGGGCGUAAAGAGCGUGUAGGCGGCCCGAUAAGUCCGCCGUGAAAGUCCAGGGCUCAACCCUGGAAUGCCGGUGGAAACUGUCGGGCUGGAGUCCGGAAGAGGCGAGUGGAAUUCCCGGUGUAGCGGUGAAAUGCGCAGAUAUCGGGAGGAACACCAAUGGCGAAGGCAGCUUGCUGGGACGGUACUGACGCUGAGGCGCGAAAGCGUGGGGAGCAAACAGG
Molecule: ribosomal RNA, 253 nt
Filed under: uncultured bacterium
Lineage: Bacteria
Description: partial 16S ribosomal RNA
Rfam family: Bacterial small subunit ribosomal RNA
Source: RNAcentral